AACAACAUCUGCAGGAGAAUCAUUUCUAUAGUAAUCGACCUCCUCUUGGUUCCCUACAAGAGCCACAGAACCCACCCUGGUUGAUGAGUGCAUAUCCCCGACGCCCUAGAGUGAAAACCUCUUGGUCCUCUCGUCCUGUCCGCAAGGAUGGCGGCGCUGCUUCUCGGAGCGGCUGCUGUAUAGAGAGUUUGUCUCGGCACCUCGUGUGCCUUUUACUCUUGAUGAUCUCGACCCCGUCUGCGGUCUGCCUUCGGGCGCGCGGGCGGGGUGGGCGUUGGUGGAAGUCUGACAGGC
This 294-nucleotide small nucleolar RNA is filed under the name Hirsutella minnesotensis 3608. Its description in RNAcentral is "Fungal small nucleolar RNA U3". It matches the Rfam family "Fungal small nucleolar RNA U3". From Rfam's summary of the family: Small nucleolar RNAs (snoRNAs) are involved in the processing and modification of rRNA in the nucleolus. Lineage: Eukaryota; Fungi; Ascomycota; Sordariomycetes; Hypocreales; Ophiocordycipitaceae. The record is from Rfam by way of RNAcentral.